AGGGUGUCCGGCCACACUGGGACUGAGAUACGGCCCAGACUCCUACGGGAGGCAGCAGUGGGGAAUAUUGCACAAUGGGCGCAAGCCUGAUGCAGCGACGCCGCGUGGGGGAUGACGGCCUUCGGGUUGUAAACCUCUUUCACCAUCGACGAAGGUCCGGGGUUUCUCGGAUUGACGGUAGGUGGAGAAGAAGCACCGGCCAACUACGUGCCAGCAGCCGCGGUAAUACGUA
RNAcentral lists this ribosomal RNA (232 nucleotides) under uncultured bacterium. RNAcentral's name for it is "partial 16S ribosomal RNA". It matches the Rfam family "Bacterial small subunit ribosomal RNA", at positions 297 to 529 of the family's 1533-position model. The record is from RNAcentral.